Molecule: long non-coding RNA, 773 nt
Organism: Chrysemys picta bellii (western painted turtle)
Lineage: Eukaryota; Metazoa; Chordata; Testudines; Emydidae
Source: RefSeq, a predicted model, not a curated record
CAGGCAGCUGCCCGACCCCCGGAGAGAUCCCCGAGCGCUUCCCAGCGCAGUGACACUCCCCAGUCCCACGGGCACUCGCUGCAACCCAUUGGAGGAGGCUGGGGCCAAUCAGUGUUCUCCUUGACUCCAGGCUGGGCGGAUUCGAGCUGCAGAGCCGUUUCCCAGGGACUGUUCUUCUAGGAACAUCCCUGAGACCAUGUCAACACAGCAAACACACACACAGGACUCUUGUUUGAAAUCACAGCAAAGCCAAAGAUUGAAUUUGUGUGGAAAAUGAAUGGAUUCAGUACACAGAGAGGAAGGCUUUCUCUUGACUCUCAAACUUUGAAUUUCAACAAGAAUUCAAAGGGGAACUAAUGCCAGUGGGCCUCAAUCCCAGGACAGAUUAGCAUCAGCAGUGCCUAGCCUGUCCGAUGGCCCUUCAAGGGUAGUCAACUGUACAAUGAACCCAUUGCAAGGAACCUGGGAAUACACUUCAUGAGUCAGCAAGGCAUUUGGUAUCCGUAUGGACAGAAUUCUAAGGCUUAUCCAUGCCAUGUGCCGGGCAGCUUGUGUUUGGGACAAAGGAAGUACAAGCCACAUGGCAAAAGAAUAUAAAGGGCAGCUGCAUCAUCUCCCUUUUGUCUUCAUUCCUGCUUCUUCCCUCUGGAAGAACGUUUCUACAAACGAAGCUCUGAACAAAUGACUAAAUGACCCAUCCCAAGUGAGAAAAGCUACGUGUAGCUCUAAAGUUUGUCUCUUUCAACAAGAGAAGUUGGUUCAAUAAAAGAUAU